AAAAAUUUAAGGUUGGGCCUGCUCACUGAUAAUAAUUUUAAAGAGCCGCGGUAUUAUGACCGUGCAAAGGUAGCAUAAUCAUUAGUCUCUUAAUUAGAGACUGGAAUGAAGGGUUUAACAAGGAAUUUACUGUCUCUUAAUAAAUUAUAUAAUUUAACUUUUAAGUUAAAAGGCUUAAAUUUUUCUCUAAGACGAGAAGACCCUAUAGAGUUUAAUAUCUUAUUUAAUAUUAUUUUUUUGUAAAUUUUAUUAUUAUUAAUUCAAGAUAUUUUGUUGGGGUGACAUGAAGAAUUAAUAAACUCUUCAUUUUGUAAUCAUAAAUUAAUGUUUAUUUGAUCCAUAAUUUAUGAUCAAAAGAUUAAAUUACCUUAGGGAUAACAGCGUAAUUAUUUUUGAGAGUUCAUAUUGACAAAAUAGAUUGCGACCUCGAUGUUGGAUUAGGAUUAAUACUAGGUGUAGUAAUUUAGUAAUUAGGUCUGUUCGACCUUU
RNAcentral lists this ribosomal RNA (489 nucleotides) under Rhainopomma magnificum. RNAcentral describes it as "partial 16S ribosomal RNA". It matches the Rfam family "Bacterial large subunit ribosomal RNA", at positions 1841 to 2589 of the family's 2925-position model. Lineage: Eukaryota; Metazoa; Arthropoda; Insecta; Orthoptera; Lentulidae. The record is from RNAcentral.